This 336-nucleotide ribosomal RNA is filed under the name uncultured eukaryote. RNAcentral describes it as "bacterial SSU rRNA". It matches the Rfam family "Eukaryotic small subunit ribosomal RNA", at positions 592 to 985 of the family's 1831-position model. The record is from RNAcentral.
CAAUAGCGUAUAUUAAAGUUGUUGCAGUUAAAAAGCUCGUAGUUGGAUUUCUAGAUAAGUGGGUACUUGUACUUUGCUUGUCUACCAGUCAUAGACUGUUACUGUGAGAAAAUUAGAGUGUUUCAAGCAGGCUGUUGCAGGAAUACAUUAGCAUGGAAUAACGAAUGUGUCUGGAAUAUUGGUUAAUUCUAGAUUACGAUUAAUAGGGACAGUUGGGGGAGUUAGUAUUUAAUUAGUCAGAGGUGGAAAUUACUUUGGUAGUUUAUUUAAAAGUAACUGACUUAUUGCGAAAGACAUUUGUCCAACGGAAGUGUUUUUCUAUUGUAUCAAGAAACG